AGUUCAGUGGUCUAAGGGUUAUGAUAUCUGCUUCACACGCAGAUGGUUCAGGGUUCGAGACCCUGCUGAACUA
Molecule: transfer RNA, 73 nt
Filed under: Plicaturopsis crispa FD-325 SS-3
Lineage: Eukaryota; Fungi; Basidiomycota; Agaricomycetes; Amylocorticiales; Amylocorticiaceae
Description: tRNA-Val (CAC) (tRNA-Val-CAC-1-1)
Rfam family: tRNA
About the family: Transfer RNA (tRNA) molecules are approximately 80 nucleotides in length. Their secondary structure includes four short double-helical elements and three loops (D, anti-codon, and T loops).
Source: RNAcentral